CCUACGGGAGGCAGCAGUGAGGAAUAUUGGUCAAUGGACGGAAGUCUGAACCAGCCAUGCCGCGUGCAGGAAGACGGCUCUAUGAGUUGUAAACUGCUUUUGUACAAGGGUAAACCUGAAUACGUGUAUUCGGCUGAAAUUACUGUACGAAUAAGGAUAGGCUAACUCCGUGCCAGCAGCCGCGGUAAUACGGAGGAUCCACGCGUUAUCCGGAUUUAUUGGGUUUAAAGGGUGCGUAGGCGGAUUGAUAAGUUAGAGGUGAAAUGUCCGAGCUUAACUCGGGAACUGCCUCUAAUACUGUUGAUCUAGAGAGUAGAUGAGGUAGGCGGAAUGUAUGGUGUAGCGGUGAAAUGCUUAGAGAUCAUACAGAACACCGAUUGCGAAGGCAGCUUACCAGUCUAUAUCUGACGUUGAGGCACGAAAGCGUGGGGAGCAAACAGGAUUAGAUACCCCAGUAGUC
This 460-nucleotide ribosomal RNA is filed under the name uncultured bacterium. RNAcentral describes it as "partial 16S ribosomal RNA". It matches the Rfam family "Bacterial small subunit ribosomal RNA", at positions 338 to 795 of the family's 1533-position model. The record is from RNAcentral.